Molecule: ribosomal RNA, 273 nt
Filed under: uncultured bacterium
Lineage: Bacteria
Description: partial 16S ribosomal RNA
Rfam family: Bacterial small subunit ribosomal RNA
Source: RNAcentral
AUACGGAGGGUGCAAGCGUUAUUCGGAAUCACUGGGCGUAAAGGACGCGUAGGCGGGUUGGCAAGUCAGAUGUGAAAUCCUACAGCUUAACUGUAGAACUGCAUUUGAAACUGCUAACCUAGAGUAUGUGAGGGGGAGAUGGAAUUAGUGGUGUAGGGGUAAAAUCCGUAGAUAUCACUAGGAAUACCGAAAGCGAAGGCGAUCUCCUGGAACAUAACUGACGCUAAGGCGUGAAGCGUGGGGAGCAAACAGGAUUAGAAACCCUAGUAGUCC